CUGCGAAUGGCUCAUUAUAUAAGUUAUCGUUUAUUUGAUAGUACCUUACUACUUGGAUAACCGUGGUAAUUCUAGAGCUAAUACAUGCUAAAAAUCCCGACUUCGGAAGGGAUGUAUUUAUUAGAUUAAAAACCAAUGCCCCCCGGGGCUCUCUGGUGAUUCAUGAUAACUUCUCGAAUCGCACGGCCUUGCGCCGGCGAUGGUUCAUUCAAAUUUCUUCCCUAUCAACUUUCGAUGUUUGGGUAGUGGCCAAACAUGGUUGCAACGGGUAACGGAGGGUUAGGGCUCGACCCCGGAGAAGGAGCCUGAGAAACGGCUACUACAUCCAAGGAAGGCAGCAGGCGCGCAAAUUACCCAAUCCCGAUUCGGGGAGGUAGUGACAAUAAAUACUGAUACAGGGCUCUUUCGGGUCUUGUAAUUGGAAUGAGUACAAUUUAAAUCCCUUAACGAGGAACAAUUGGAGGGCAAGUCUGGUGCCAGCAGCCGCGGUAAUUCCAGCUCCAAUAGCGUAUAUUAAAGUUGUUGUGGUUAAAAAGCUCGUAGUUGAACCUUGGGCCUGGCUGGCCGGUCCGCCUCACCGCGUGUCACUGGUCCGGCCGGGUCUUUCCCUCUGUGGAACCACAUGCCCUUCACUGGGCGUGGCGGGGAAACAGGACUUUUACUUUGAAAAAAUUAGAGUGCUCCAGGCAGGCCUAUGCUCGAAUACAUUAGCAUGGAAUAAUGAAAUAGGACGUGCGGUUCUAUUUUGUUGGUUUCUAGGACCGCCGUAAUGAUUAAUAGGGACAGUCGGGGGCAUCAGUAUUCAAUUGUCAGAGGUGAAAUUCUUGGAUUUAUUGAAGACUAACUACUGCGAAAGCAUUUGCCAAGGAUGUUUUCAUUAAUCAGGAACGAAAGUUAGGGGAUCGAAGACGAUCAGAUACCGUCGUAGUCUUAACCAUAAACUAUGCCGACUAGGGAUCGGACGAUGUUAUUUAGUUGACUCGUUCGGCACCUUACGAGAAAUCAAAGUG
Molecule: ribosomal RNA, 1010 nt
Filed under: Metarhizium koreanum
Lineage: Eukaryota; Fungi; Ascomycota; Sordariomycetes; Hypocreales; Clavicipitaceae
Description: SSU rRNA
Rfam family: Eukaryotic small subunit ribosomal RNA
Source: RNAcentral